This 1374-nucleotide ribosomal RNA is filed under the name Salegentibacter sp. MGE_SAT_706. RNAcentral describes it as "bacterial SSU rRNA". It matches the Rfam family "Bacterial small subunit ribosomal RNA", at positions 60 to 1427 of the family's 1533-position model. The record is from RNAcentral. Lineage: Bacteria; Pseudomonadati; Bacteroidota; Flavobacteriia; Flavobacteriales; Flavobacteriaceae.
AGUCGAGGGGUAACAUAGGAAAGCUUGCUUUUCUGAUGACGACCGGCGCACGGGUGCGUAACGCGUAUACAACCUACCUUUUAGCGGGGAAUAGCCCAGGGAAACUUGGAUUAAUGCCCCAUAGUAUGGAGAUCUCUCCUGAGAUUUUCAUUAAACAUUUAUGGCUAUUAGAUGGGUAUGCGUCCUAUUAGUUAGUUGGUAAGGUAACGGCUUACCAAGGCAGCGAUAGGUAGGGGUCCUGAGAGGGAGAUCCCCCACACUGGUACUGAGACACGGACCAGACUCCUACGGGAGGCAGCAGUGAGGAAUAUUGGACAAUGGGCGAGAGCCUGAUCCAGCCAUGCCGCGUGCAGGAAGACUGCCCUAUGGGUUGUAAACUGCUUUUACAGAGGAAGAACCACCCCCACGUGUGGGGGUUUGACGGUACUCUGCGAAUAAGGAUCGGCUAACUCCGUGCCAGCAGCCGCGGUAAUACGGAGGAUCCAAGCGUUAUCCGGAAUCAUUGGGUUUAAAGGGUCCGUAGGCGGGCAGUUAAGUCAGUGGUGAAAGUCUUCCGCUCAACGGGAGAACUGCCAUUGAUACUGAUUGUCUUGAGUUAUUAUGAAGUGGUUAGAAUGAGUAGUGUAGCGGUGAAAUGCAUAGAUAUUACUCAGAAUACCGAUUGCGAAGGCAGAUCACUAAUAAUAUACUGACGCUGAUGGACGAAAGCGUAGGUAGCGAACAGGAUUAGAUACCCUGGUAGUCUACGCCGUAAACGAUGGUUACUAGCUGUUCGGCCCAAUUGAGGGCUGAGUGGUUAAGCGAAAGUGAUAAGUAACCCACCUGGGGAGUACGUUCGCAAGAAUGAAACUCAAAGGAAUUGACGGGGGCCCGCACAAGCGGUGGAGCAUGUGGUUUAAUUCGAUGAUACGCGAGGAACCUUACCAGGGCUUAAAUGUAGUCUGACAGGGGUGGAAACACCCUUUUCUUCGGACAGAUUACAAGGUGCUGCAUGGUUGUCGUCAGCUCGUGCCGUGAGGUGUCAGGUUAAGUCCUAUAACGAGCGCAACCCCUGUGGUUAGUUGCCAGCGAGUAAUGUCGGGAACUCUAGCCAGACUGCCGGUGCAAACCGCGAGGAAGGUGGGGAUGACGUCAAAUCAUCACGGCCCUUACGUCCUGGGCCACACACGUGCUACAAUGGUAGGGACAGAGAGCAGCCACUUCGCGAGAAGGAGCGAAUCUACAAACCCUAUCACAGUUCGGAUCGCAGUCUGCAACUCGACUGCGUGAAGCUGGAAUCGCUAGUAAUCGCAUAUCAGCCAUGAUGCGGUGAAUACGUUCCCGGGCCUUGUACACACCGCCCGUCAAGCCAUGGAAGCCGGGGGUACCUGAAGU